This 253-nucleotide ribosomal RNA is filed under the name uncultured bacterium. RNAcentral describes it as "partial 16S ribosomal RNA". It matches the Rfam family "Bacterial small subunit ribosomal RNA", at positions 524 to 776 of the family's 1533-position model. The record is from RNAcentral.
GACGAACCGUGCGAACGUUGUUCGGAUUCACUGGGCUUAAAGGGCGCGUAGGCGGCCAAUCAAGUCAGGGGUGAAAGCCUCCAGCUCAACUGGAGAAGUGCCUUUGAUACUGACUGUCUCGAGGGAGGUAGGGGCAUGUGGAACUUCCGGUGGAGCGGUGAAAUGCGUAGAUAUCGGAAGGAACGCCGGUGGCGAAAGCGACGUGCUGGACCUCUUCUGACGCUGAGGCGCGAAAGCUAGGGGAGCAAACGGG